This 437-nucleotide ribosomal RNA is filed under the name uncultured Bacillota bacterium. Its description in RNAcentral is "bacterial SSU rRNA". It matches the Rfam family "Bacterial small subunit ribosomal RNA", at positions 917 to 1359 of the family's 1533-position model. Lineage: Bacteria; Bacillati; Bacillota. The record is from RNAcentral.
GGGCCCGCACAAGCAGUGGAGUAUGUGGUUUAAUUCGAAGCAACGCGAAGAACCUUACCAGGUCUUGACAUCGUGCGCAUAGCAUAGAGAUAUGUGAAGCCCUUCGGGGCGCACAGACAGGUGGUGCAUGGUUGUCGUCAGCUCGUGUCGUGAGAUGUUGGGUUAAGUCCCGCAACGAGCGCAACCCUUAUUAUUAGUUGCUACGCAAGAGCACUCUAAUGAGACUGCCGUUGACAAAACGGAGGAAGAUGGGGAUGACGUCAAAUCAUCAUGCCCCUUAUGACCUGGGCUACACACGUACUACAAUGGCACUUAAACAGAGGGUCGCGACAACGCGAGUUGAAGCAAAUCCCGAAAAAGUGUACUCAGUUCGGAUCGCAGGCUGCAACCCGCCUGCGUGAAGUCGGAAUUGCUAGUAAUCGCAGAUCAGCAUGCUG